Molecule: long non-coding RNA, 1116 nt
Organism: Perca fluviatilis (European perch)
Lineage: Eukaryota; Metazoa; Chordata; Actinopteri; Perciformes; Percidae
Exons: 3
Source: RefSeq, a predicted model, not a curated record
UCGCCCAGAAUAAGAAAACGGAGAUUGAAAAGAGCGAGAAAUUGGCAUCAUCAGCAAAAAGAGUGAACAUUGGAGCUGCUUGGACACACCAAAUCCCAACUAGGUAAUUAUCCUCCGGACUGCUGCAGUCUCCUUUUUUCCGUGCACCAACAUCUAUAUACUGUCUAUGCACCAACUAUGCACCAACCUCUAUAUCCCAGUAAGCACACAUACGUCGGCACGACGUAUGCAAUUGAUCGCUUCGUCUGCAAUUGAUCGCGGGUCAUAAAGAAGAAUAACGAAGCAUCGUUUAUUGAGCGUCUGGACGUCUUAUGAUCGCAAUCUAUACAUCGCAGCGACGUAUUAACUAUGUCAGUGAGAUGUAUUAAAAGUUACUCAGUUGUUCACGUGUCAUUUGGAAGCAUCGUUUAUUGAGCGUCUGGACGUCUUAUUAUGAUCGCAAUCUAUACAUCGCAGCGACAUAACUAUGUCGGUGAGAUGUAUUAACGGUUCCUCAGUUGUUUGCGGGUCAUUUGGAAGCAUCGUUUAUUGAGCGUCUGGAUGUCUUUACUGUACACACACACUGUUGAUGUGAUGGACAGUGAAUCUGAAUUCUGCCCAGCAACAUAUUCGCGCCACAGUCGAUAAAGGAAGGGCAAAAAAAAGUUGCCAGUCUACGAAGGGUUAGGAUGGAGACUGCUUCUUUGCUGCUGUCAAAUACCAUGUGGAAGAUCAGAAAACGUCGGCAGGAGGUGGGAGAGAAGGCAAUGCAGAGAUGAAGGACAUCAUACCACAAUAAUAGUUGUGUGUAUAAGCCUGAUCAACAAGUGAAAAGAGUCAGAUAAGAGGAAAGAGUUUGAAAACUGAUUUGAUGACCACUUAUAAUCAACACUGCUCCAAGUAGACCACACGCACCCUAUCUGACAAUUUACUCACGUGCAACAUCAAUGUACACCUUUUUUAUGCAAUAUCAAUAACUCCUCUGUGCAAUACUGUGAAUACCGUAUUAUUAAACCUUCUGUCUGUAUACUGAACAGUUUUAACUGCUUUAUUCUUGCGUUUUUACUGAUGCUUUUGUCAUUGCACUUUCCUUCUGGUGCAGUAUCACUGAAAAUGUCCUCCACUGUGGGAUUAAUU